GGGUCGUUAGCUCAGUUGGUAGAGCAGUUGACUUUUAAUCAAUUGGUCGCAGGUUCGAAUCCUGCACGACCCACC
RNAcentral lists this transfer RNA (75 nucleotides) under Enterobacter cloacae. Its description in RNAcentral is "tRNA-Lys". It matches the Rfam family "tRNA". Rfam says of the family: Transfer RNA (tRNA) molecules are approximately 80 nucleotides in length. Their secondary structure includes four short double-helical elements and three loops (D, anti-codon, and T loops). RNAcentral also lists the same sequence under 15 other names. Lineage: Bacteria; Pseudomonadati; Pseudomonadota; Gammaproteobacteria; Enterobacterales; Enterobacteriaceae. The record is from RNAcentral.